CAGUGGCCCAUUUUUUUCCUUUUUUUUAAUCAAACUAUCCCUUCAGAGCCAAUCCCCGCCGUCCCAGUGAUCCCUGUAAACCGGAUGCCCUCCUGUCUGUCCCCUCAGACGCACGCAAUCCGUGGAUCGGGGAGGCAGGAAGGCGCGCCGUCGGUGCGGAGCUGCGGGGCUCGGACGGAGGGUGAUGGGAGUGAAAAGCAGCUUCUGGUCCAAACCCGAAAAAUGAUAUUAAUAAUAAUUAAUAAAGAAAAGAAAAGAGCUGCGUGAAAACACCUCGACUGGACCGUGAACCCGGCUGUUUUCGACAUGAAGAGAGGAUGGAGAGGACGGAGUCUUAUGCUGCUGCGUCACAUUUUCAUCCGAAGAUUUGAGUUCCUGUGAACACCGAGGUGGUGGCACUGCCACAAAGCAGAUAUUCACAGCUCAUGUUCGAGCUUAAAACACACCUAGUUGUACUUUUGUGUGUAACAUAAAUCAGAGUUGUCACUGCCCCGCGGACAGGACGCUCGUUCUGCCGCUGUCUUGUGUCAUCAAGUUGCUCCCGGUUAUGUUGUGCAACCUGACCUCUGUGGUCCUGAGCGGAUUCUGUGCCCCUGUCGUCCCUGUCAGAUCGGCUCACCCCUCCCCCACCUCCCCCCGCCUGCCUCGGUGAACAUUCAACGCUGUCGGUGAGUUUGGUAUGAAUUGCACAAAAAACCAUCGACCGUUGACUGUGCCCCGUGGCUCGCUCUGGUCGACGUCAGGACUUGGACCGACAGGAGGGGCGAGCGGGCGCCGCGUGCAAAUGCGAAACACAGGAAAGCACCCGCACACAAGCGCCAUACUUGUUUCCCCCACUGUACCCAAAGAGCAAAGGUCACAAUCAACAUUCAUUGCUGUCGCUGGGUUGGACUCUGUAGAAAAGCUCACUGAACAAUGAGUGCAACUGUGGCCCAGAUCUGCCUGACUCGCAUCUCAGCCAAUCAGACCACCGGAUGUGAAGCACUCUGAUUUCUUUAUUUAUAUACUUCUUGUUUUUCACGUCUGUUCCCUCGCCCUCCCCUCGCCCUCUCCAGAGCUGGGAGUUUUGAAGAGGAAGAGGGAGAGAUAGGCGCACAAAUAGACUUCUGGCUGCUUCGCUUGUCCUCAUCCUCUCCUCUCCUCUAAUUGAUGGUUAUGUGUGCAGCAAGGGGGAAGGAAGCAGAGUGAAUGUGUAAUCAUUUAGAGUCUCCUCUCCUUUAGAUGUUUCAUCCCUCUCUUUUUUGUUUGUCUAAUUAUAUAGGAAGCUCAGUUAACUGUGUGUCUGUGCUGGCAGGAAAGACGGACUGGCAGAGAGGGGAGGACAAAGGAAGGGAAAAGGUUCGAAGAUUACAGCUCUAGAARCAUUUGGAUCCCGUUUUGAGUUGAUUUCCUGCAGUUUUACGAUAUAAUGCAAUACAAUAGUUAUCAGAUCAUAUGGUUUUGUAUUGAAUUGUGUUUGUAUUUUGCAUUUUCCACUGUAGAAAGACCAUUAUUGGAAGGUUUUUGAUGGAGGUUGUCCCAUUACGUGCAUUUGAAUUUCAUGAGAGACCGUCUGCCUGUCCUUGUGUGUGUGUAUUGUGUGUGUUAGCGUGUGCACACGCUCUUUGAUAGAGGAUGUGUCUGCUGAUCUCUGGGUGCAAUAUGUUAUUUUCCUUCUGUACUAAAGCUGCUUCUCUCAUGGGGAAAAGCACUUUAAAACCUCGACUUCCUUUGCAGUCGUUGGUCGCAUAACUCUUCAUGUUACCCUUCUGAAUCUCGAGACUUGCUGUAAUAUCUGCAUUUUAACUGAUUUAAACAAUAAAGUUCAAUCCAAACCAAA
This is a long non-coding RNA of Austrofundulus limnaeus, 1819 nucleotides long. RefSeq lists it as uncharacterized. The record is from RefSeq and is a predicted model, not a curated record. NCBI's taxonomy places the organism in Eukaryota, Metazoa, Chordata, Actinopteri, Cyprinodontiformes, Rivulidae. The transcript has 2 exons.